UACGUAGGGUGCAAGCGUUGUCCGGAAUUAUUGGGCGUAAGAGCUCGUAGGCGGUUUGUCGCGUCUGCUGUGAAAACCCGAGGCUCAACCUCGGGCCUGCAGUGGGUACGGGCAGACUAGAGUGCGGUAGGGGAGAAUGGAAUUCCUGGUGUAGCGGUGGAAUGCGCAGAUAUCAGGAGGAACACCGAUGGCGAAGGCAGUUCUCUGGGCCGUAACUGACGCUGAGGAGCGAAAGCGUGGGGAGCGAACAGG
RNAcentral lists this ribosomal RNA (252 nucleotides) under uncultured bacterium. Its description in RNAcentral is "partial 16S ribosomal RNA". It matches the Rfam family "Bacterial small subunit ribosomal RNA", at positions 524 to 776 of the family's 1533-position model. The record is from RNAcentral.